Long non-coding RNA from Dromiciops gliroides (monito del monte), 1055 nucleotides. RefSeq lists it as uncharacterized. The transcript has 2 exons. The record is from RefSeq and is a predicted model, not a curated record. NCBI's taxonomy places the organism in Eukaryota, Metazoa, Chordata, Mammalia, Microbiotheria, Microbiotheriidae.
AACCGUUCAAAUCGGUGGAAAUCAGGUCCAAGGUCUCCCUUCCCACCUUGGGGGAGCCCUGGCCAUUUCAGUGCCACUCCAAAGGUCCCCAGAGUGCCCUUUGUGACAGUUCGGCAGCUGGGUGGGGAUCUCUGCCCAGCUUUGGGGGUGGGAAAUCCCGACAGGAACCAGCACAUCCCCUUCAGCCUCCCCAUCUGCAUUUCCGGGGUGAGUCAUCAGAGGAUUGGGAGGAAAGGCCCCUCCUAUUGGCAGCACCCAGCCUGGGGGUGGGGGAGGAUCCCUGCCAGCCCUAUUCCCCUCACCCCCAAUCACAUGGGAUUAGAUCAGACCAGAGGGUGGCUCUGGGUCUCCUGACAGGCCUUCACCAGGAACCACACAGUCUUGGUCUCCCAUCUGGCUCCUCCCCAGCCCCAUCACAUCCAUUCUGAUGAGGAUUCCAGUAGGAGAAAAGGGAAGAGGGGAGGUAGAUGGAUGGCUUUAGGUUGCUGGAAUUAUUUUAGAUGCGUCACUUCCCUUCCUCCACUUCUCCCCACCCCCCAACCUUCCUAAGAGGCAGCUCAAAGUGCUACUUAAGCACUGGGCUUUUUGAGGAGUAGGGGGUGGCACCUGGAGACCUGCUCUUCACCUCCCAGUGGGAAAGAGGGGAGGAGAGAGGAGGAAGACAUGAAAGGAAGAUCCUAGACCAGUGUCUGACUUGGUUACUCCAGCUCAGGAAACAUGCCAGGGGUUGGAGAGCAGAACGCCUGCCUCAGAACAGAGGAGUUCAGCUGCUGGGCAGAGCAAGGCAGCCUGGGACAAGAACCUUCCACACCUGAUUGCGUUUGGUUUCCAGGCAACCUGAGUGUAAGUCACUGGCUUCUGUUUUGGGACAGAGCACUGAGCAGGAGAGAGAAAGAGAGAGAGAGAAAGAGAGAUGCACAGAGAAGUCCAGGAACUUGUGGCUACUUCCCUCCCCGACAUCCCCACCCUCCAUCCUGUCACCACCACGGGGACAGAGCUGGUGAUGGGUGUCUGCACUGUUUCGUACUGAAAUAAACCUGAAUUGGAGUUACCGA